RNAcentral lists this long non-coding RNA (870 nucleotides) under Oryctolagus cuniculus (rabbit). RNAcentral's name for it is "lncRNA (ENSOCUG00000032895.1)". The record is from RNAcentral. Lineage: Eukaryota; Metazoa; Chordata; Mammalia; Lagomorpha; Leporidae.
AUAAAACCCAGCUCUAUGAACUGGUGGCCAUGAUGAUUUAAAUUUUCAUUGUGAGAUCAUCACCCCAACAUUCUAUGGGUGUCCUGGAAACCUUCAUGUACAUAGUGUCUUUGAGCUAUCCUAGUGAAGGUUGAUCAUUCUCUCUUCUCAAGGUGUGACCUGGGAUUGUACUGGCUGUACUGCAAGCACUUCAUGAAGAUGCCAUGUGCCAGCAUCCCUGUCCCCCGUCCUGGUGUUGCAUCUGCUACAGUGGCUGGGCAAGCAAGUGCUAUGACAAAGAAAUACAACACAGCAAUAAAGCAAGUUUGGAGAAUGAAAUUAAAGACAAAUACAAUGCAUAAAGAAUUCCAGGCCAGCAGCGUGGAGCUGCUACCAAGUGGGCUCCAGUCCUCGAGAGUGCCUCCGCGCAAGGCAAGGCUCGAACCAGGCUCUUCGCGGAGGGGCAGCGGCAGGAACCGGUGGAGGCCAGCGCACCGCGGGCUGCAUGGACAGUGGUGGACGCCAGGCAGAGGCGGCGCUUCUCUCCAGGCACACACGGAGUCCCAGAGGCUGUGGCUUCAGGACCCACUGCCCUCGCUGCCCCUCCCCGCGCCGCCGCCUCCCUGGUCACCGCGCCCAGCGCGCCAGUGCCCAGACUGGCCCUCGCCCCUGUGCCCCGGCGGGGUGGCCACCGCCAGAGCAGGCGCGAGGGCAGGAACCGGCCUCCGUGAUGAAGUUCAAGCCCAACAAGGCGCGGACCUAGGGCAACGCAGACUUCUGGAAGCGUCGGCGAGACUGGGCUUCAGAGCCAGCAACACUCGCUCCCAACACCAGUGCGUCGUCCCAGGAGGAGGAGUGGAGCCCGGGAGGAGCCUGGCGGUGCUGCAGUGA